UCGUCAAGGUUUGUUGCUUGAAGACUCGGCAAGACCUUAGACGCAAACGUUAAUCGUCAUAAUCAGGCGUAAAGGGUGUGUAGGCUGCUUUAAAAAAUAUAAUAAGUAAUAUAAUUAUUAUAGCAAAAAAAUUAUAUUUUAAUAAAAGCUAGAAUCUAAAAGAGGGUAAGCUAAACAACAUAAUUAACUGGGACUGACAACUUAUAAUAAUGUGGAGUACUAAAGGUUAAAGCUAUUUAUCUACUGAAGAUUGACGCUGAGAAACGAAGGGGAGAAUAAGAAACUUAGAUUAGAGACCUAAUUAUCUCUCUCAGUCAACGAUGAAUGGUAGUUAUUAAAAAUUUUAUAAUUUUAGUAACGAGGUUAACACGAUGACCAUUCCGCCUUGUUAGUAAGACUGCGAAGUUGAAAACAAAAAAAUUAUUCGGUCUUGAAGCAAACAAAGUGAAGCAUGUG
RNAcentral lists this ribosomal RNA (456 nucleotides) under Zangia erythrocephala. RNAcentral's name for it is "partial small subunit ribosomal RNA". It matches the Rfam family "Bacterial small subunit ribosomal RNA", at positions 493 to 943 of the family's 1533-position model. Lineage: Eukaryota; Fungi; Basidiomycota; Agaricomycetes; Boletales; Boletaceae. The record is from RNAcentral.